CUACGGGAGGCUGCAGUGGGGAAUAUUGCACAAUGGGCGCAAGCCUGAUGCAGCCAUGCCGCGUGUAUGAAGAAGGCCUUCGGGUUGUAAAGUACUUUCAGCGGGGAGGAAGGGAGUAAAGUUAAUACCUUUGCUCAUUGACGUUACCCGCAGAAGAAGCACCGGCUAACUCCGUGCCAGCAGCCGCGGUAAUACGGAGGGUGCAAGCGUUAAUCGGAAUUACUGGGUGUAAAGCGCACGCAGGCGGUUUGUUAAGUCAGAUGUGAAAUCCCCGGGCUCAACCUGGGAACUGCAUCUGAUACUGGCGAGCUUGAGUCUCGUAGAGGGGGGUAGAAUUCCAGGUGUAGCGGUGAGAUGCGUAGAGAUCUGGAGGAAUACCGGUGGCGAAGGCGGCCCCCUGGACGAAGACUGACGCUCAGGUGCGAAAGCGUGGGGAGCAAACAGGAUUAGAUACCCCGGUAGUC
RNAcentral lists this ribosomal RNA (464 nucleotides) under uncultured bacterium. Its description in RNAcentral is "partial 16S ribosomal RNA". It matches the Rfam family "Bacterial small subunit ribosomal RNA", at positions 339 to 795 of the family's 1533-position model. The record is from RNAcentral.